RNAcentral lists this ribosomal RNA (468 nucleotides) under uncultured bacterium. Its description in RNAcentral is "partial 16S ribosomal RNA". It matches the Rfam family "Bacterial small subunit ribosomal RNA", at positions 28 to 507 of the family's 1533-position model. The record is from RNAcentral.
GACGAACGCUGGCGGCGUGCUUAACACAUGCAAGUCGAACGGAAAGGCCCUGCUUUUGUGGGGUGCUCGAGUGGCGAACGGGUGAGUAACACGUGAGUAACCUGCCCUUGACUUUGGGAUAACUUCAGGAAACUGGGGCUAAUACCGGAUAGGAGCUCCUGCUGCAUGGUGGGGGUUGGAAAGUUUCGGCGGUUGGGGAUGGACUCGCGGCUUAUCAGCUUGUUGGUGGGGUAGUGGCUUACCAAGGCUUUGACGGGUAGCCGGUCUGAGAGGGUGACCGGCCACAUUGGGACUGAGAUACGGCCCAGACUCCUACGGGAGGCAGCAGUGGGGAAUAUUGCACAAUGGGCGGAAGCCUGAUGCGGCAACGCCGCGUGCGGGAUGACGGCCUUCGGGUUGUAAACCGCUUUCGCCUGUGACGAAGCGUGAGUGACGGUAAUGGGUAAAGAAGCACCGGCUAACUACGUG